RNAcentral lists this ribosomal RNA (252 nucleotides) under uncultured Bacteroidales bacterium. Its description in RNAcentral is "partial 16S ribosomal RNA". It matches the Rfam family "Bacterial small subunit ribosomal RNA", at positions 524 to 776 of the family's 1533-position model. The record is from RNAcentral. Lineage: Bacteria; Pseudomonadati; Bacteroidota; Bacteroidia; Bacteroidales.
UACGGAGGAUGCGAGCGUUAUCCGGAUUUAUUGGGUUUAAAGGGUGCGCAGGCGGCCUGUUAAGUCAGCGGUAAAAGCCCGGGGCUCAACCCCGGCGAGCCGUUGAAACUGGCGGGCUGGAGUUGGAGAGAAGUACGCGGAAUGCGCGGUGUAGCGGUGAAAUGCUUAGAUAUCACGCAGAACCCCGAUUGCGAAGGCAGCCUGCCAAGCCAUGACUGACGCUGAUGCACGAAAGCGUGGGGAUCGAACAGG